ACUAAUGUGAUGAUGAAGAAGAGUACAUGAUGAGAAGCUCUCAGAGAGCCUGUGGCAGGUGAAAACAGGCAGUGGAUCAUGAUGGAAUGGGCUUUGGAGCAUUCUGACCGAACCUUUUAGUAGGCUCAGACGUGUAUAUGUCCGCACGAUAUAAAUGGACAGCGUAUCGGUAUUUCCUGUACGUAUUCGAGUGAUUUUCAUAUUACGUGAGAAUUAUAAGGGUGGCACCGCGGUCCAUUCGUCCCUUGC
Molecule: non-coding RNA, 249 nt
Filed under: Fictibacillus arsenicus
Lineage: Bacteria; Bacillati; Bacillota; Bacilli; Caryophanales; Fictibacillaceae
Description: T-box sequence
Rfam family: T-box leader
About the family: Uncharged tRNA acts as the effector for transcription antitermination of genes in the T-box leader family. T-boxes are found upstream of many aminoacyl-tRNA synthetase genes and some amino acid biosynthetic genes usually in Gram-positive bacteria.
Source: RNAcentral